RNAcentral lists this transfer RNA (68 nucleotides) under Ictidomys tridecemlineatus (thirteen-lined ground squirrel). Its description in RNAcentral is "Spermophilus tridecemlineatus (thirteen-lined ground squirrel) tRNA". It matches the Rfam family "tRNA". Rfam says of the family: Transfer RNA (tRNA) molecules are approximately 80 nucleotides in length. Their secondary structure includes four short double-helical elements and three loops (D, anti-codon, and T loops). Further hydrogen bonds mediate the characteristic L-shaped molecular structure. tRNAs have two regions of fundamental functional importance: the anti-codon, which is responsible for specific mRNA codon recognition, and the 3' end, to which the tRNAs corresponding amino acid is attached (by aminoacyl-tRNA synthetases). tRNAs cope with the degeneracy of the genetic code in two manners: having more than one tRNA (with a specific anti-codon) for a particular amino acid; and 'wobble' base-pairing, i.e. permitting non-standard base-pairing at the 3rd anti-codon position. The record is from Rfam by way of RNAcentral. Lineage: Eukaryota; Metazoa; Chordata; Mammalia; Rodentia; Sciuridae.
GGGGACAUAGCUCAGUUGGUAGAGUGCUUGCCUUGCAUACAAGGCCCUGGGUUCAAUCCCUGGCACCA